This 6154-nucleotide long non-coding RNA is filed under the name Homo sapiens (human). RNAcentral's name for it is "HSALNT0287225". The record is from RNAcentral. Lineage: Eukaryota; Metazoa; Chordata; Mammalia; Primates; Hominidae.
GGAAUAGACCCUUCAGCAACCCAAACGUCUCACCUUGCCGGCUCUCAAAGACUUCUGCUCUCUGCUUGCUCUCCUGUACUAUCCAAAUCAUGAUGCAAGAUCCUUCUCCCUUGGAAUCUUUCUGAAGUCCUCACCUCAGCUAGUCUCAGUUAUUUCCAGCCCAAGCCUGUGCUGAUGAAUGACUAUGUGUUUGUGUGUGUGUGCGUGUGCCCAUGUGCGUAUGUGCAGCUGUGUGCGUGCAAAUGGUGUGGGUGAGUGUGAAGUAAGAUUCCCAGUGGGGAGGCUCAGAAUAUUUCUACCACAGAAAGAGGGAGCAGAGCUCAGGGGUUAUUCUUGGCAGCAGCAGAGAAAACUGAUAUUCCUGUGCUGAGGUGAGAGUGCUGCCUCACUCUCCUGUUGGCACCAGGUCAGAAUCCAGGGUAUGGAGAGAAGCCUUUAGCUCCAAGAAAACUCAGGAGGUAGACCUAACUGUGAGAUAUUUACCCUGAGUUGCCUUUAGGAACCCUGGAGUCCAGGUACAGGUAUAUAAAGGAAGAGAAGCCCAAUCUUCAAGCCAAAUCCCUAGGAAGGCUUCAUCAAAAGAGGAUCUCCCCCCAUGCUCCUAGCCCCAUCUACAAGAGGGGUCUCCAAAGGCUGAACAUUGCUUGUGGGUAGCAAGGAAUAGAGUAGUGAAGAGUGAUUCCUUCUUGGGACAAUGGCCACACUCCCCUAUAGUUUCUGCCAUAAAUCAAAUUUAGAGGCCCAAGGAAUUCAUCACACUACAACAAAGCAAUAGCCUAAACAAACGCACUGAUGAUGACGAGUACAGAAAUUUCCACAGGCUAGUAAGGAGCUCUGAUAUGUGUCUUGAGGGUACAUAAAGAACAGACUGAACUGGAUGGUAGGUCCCAGACCAUGGUGUUCCUUGAAGGUCUUUUUGAAAGGUUUGGGCUUUAUCCUGAAGGCAGUUUGAGGAGUAGGGGGUGUAAUCCAUGAAAGAGUUUAGGCAGGGAGGUGACAUAAUCAGCUUUUGAUCUGCAGUCACUUUGGUGGCAAUGUGGAAAACAGACUGGAUGGAAGCAAGAUUUAGGUACAGAGGAACAAAGAAGAGAUUGCGAAGGUUUCACUGGCACCAUAUAUAUGGAGGGAACCUGGGAAAAGUGGAUCAUCAAGAGAUGCUUAAGGGAUAGACUUAAUAGAACCAGGACAGUGGCAAGGGAAUGUAGAGCAGGACUAGAUUUCAAACAGAUGAUGGGAAAUCGUGGAAGAUGGGUCGGAGUUGAAGGAAGAUUUGAAGGAAAGAGGCAAGAGUUGAGUCAGAGGUGACUCAAGCUUUACAAAGAGCCAGGAACAGAAAAGAUAAACAAAAGGUCCUCAGGGAAGUGUUGGUGUGGUUGGAGGGCUUUGGGGACAACAGGAGUGCAGAAGCCUGUCUUGACCAGUUAAACUGGGGGUCUCAGCUGUCAGCCUAGUGUAAAUGCCCAGCAGGCAGUUGGGAAGAGAGGUCAGCACUGGAAAGAGCAACCUGAAUUUGACAGCAUGAGAUGACUCAGCCCACAAGCCGGGCCAGUGCUAUGUCACUGAUCCAGAACACAGGCUCAGACAAAUUGGACAAUCCUAGCCUGCAACUUGGCACAAGGCACAUGCCAUGCUGCCUCCCAGCAACAGGUUCUCACAAUCUAAAAUCCACCUCCUAUAUGUAUGGCUUGAAGGAGAUGCAUUUAACUUAGAUUUGGAAUAUAAAAUGUGUAUACAACCAUUUAUUCCAUUAGUACAUUUACUUUCCACCUCAGAACUAAAUGCCUCUACUAAUUAAAUACAUUUAUUUUAACUUCAGAAGCAUUUAUUUCCAAAAUAAGGACACGUUAAUUAUCUGCAAAGUGAAAUUAACCCCAGGAUGCUAAUCUAUAUAUUCAUCUGCCUGGAUAUGUGUUACCCAUGGAUGCCUGGUUGUGCUGCCAACCGUUGCACAACACUGUUCAACGCACUCUUACCACCUGCAUCCCCAUCCUUCUUGUUAUCAUCUUACUGAGAACUGCAUGGUUGAUGUGGAAUGUGUAAUUUAAAUGUUACCACACUCAUUCCAAACCUAAGAAGACUACAGAUACAGGAUUCACAAGCAGGUUCUGAUAUAAUUCAAGGGCAUUUUUACCGGGAGAGGAGGUAACUAUCUCCAACUACCCUGAGGAGAUUUUUGCUCAUGUUUUAUGAGAACUGACACCUUAAUUCUCUUGUCACUGACAUUUCCUAGACAUGGGUACAUAUCUGUAAUUCUCAUGAUAAGUCAUUAGUAUUAAUUAAGCCACAUCAAUAGCAUAAUUUAGCUAGUCAGUCAACAUUUUCUGAGAGCUCUCAGUGGGGGUAGUCCUAACUCAGAGCAUUGGAGAGUUAAUAAGGGAAAAGAAAAUGCAAGAAUAGAAAGAGUUUUCCAGAAAGAUGGGCAUUCUUGCCUUCACAGCCACUGGGGAGUCACUUGCAGAAACUUCAAGAAGGAGUGAGGUCUUCUUUUAUGAUAUAACAUCUGUUUUUCUCAUCUGCACAACGGAGCAGAAAUACCUUGCAACAGUCUGCCAUCAAGGGGAGGAGCUUCAGAGAGAGUAGGCUUCAAUGCCCCCAGGGAAAGACAAAUGGAAUGCAAUUGGUUCCAGCAGGAAUUUGGCAACUCUGUCGACCAAAUUCUGGCCUUUGGUCUACCAAGUCUGAUCAGUCAGAAGUGAAAAAGUAAGAGAGCCCUCUCAGUUAACAGAAUGUCUUCUCUCUUCCUUCCUUUACAUUCCUCUCUCUCCCUGCCUCCUUCCCUUUCUCAUUCCUUUUAUCCCAUCCUUUCUUUCUUCCAGAAUAUUUUUUGAGCACAUACUAUGAGCAUUUACUAUUUACUUAGACACUAUGCUAAGCAGUGGAGGGACAACAGUGAACAAAUAAAAGUUCCUUCUUCUAAGCAGCUAGGAUUCUAGUGAGGGGAGAGAAUCAUAAGUAAACAAAUGAACAAGCCAAACAAUAUGUCAGCUAGUGAGAAGUGUUAUAAAAAAAAAUGAGAAUACAGGAACAGAAGUGAUGAGAGUGGAUGGCAUUUUAACUUCAGUUAGUUCCCUGUGCAGCAUAGACAUAGUAGAAGUCAGCAGGAAGGAGAAUAUUCCUACUCUUGGAUACCCAGACUCAUGAGGCAUGCAUGCAGUGUUAGUAGCAGUUGAAAUAAAUGUUGCAUUUUUAAAGUGCUAGCUUGGUGCUACUGGAACUACAUAUUUUAUACAUGCAAAUGGCUUUCCUAGCCAAGUACCAUGUGCUCAUGCCUACAAAAAAGACAAAGGCCAUUACCACCUCCUUUUUCCCUUGGGCUAGCACCAACUUGACUCCCCAAAGGAAGGCUCAAGAGCUUUAAUCUGGAGAUUCCCUGACUUCUGAUGAGUGGUAGGACACAUAAAAAGGAAAUGCAAGUCAGAAGUUAUGCUUCUGCUUCCAUGAAUGAGACGUGGGUUGGGCUCAAGGUGAAUAAGAGGCUAGAACUGAAUGGUUUGAGAGUGGUCCAGAAGAUGGCAUUGUCUAACAUCAGGGUUAACUGUGGCUACAUUGAAGAAUUCCAAAUUAGGGAUUUAAACCCCAAGUCCUCUGGUCCCCUAUGCAUCCUUGAUUGUAGUAUGUAGAAGAACAUGGAUGUGCAUAGGCCAUUUUACACAUAAAUUUUUUAAAUACACUAAAGUACACUAAUGUGUUAUACACCAAGUUCAAGAUGCUUGAACUUUGCUUUGCUUGGCAGUUGGUAGUUCUAAGAACUAGACUCAAGAUGUGGGCAUUAUCAAAUAGCUCCAAUAAAGGAGGACAGAGGAAAGAUUGCCUUCAUAUGCCCGUGGAUGUCUACCAACUUGAAAGGAUAUAUCAUGCUAUUGAGGUUCCUGUCCCUUCUUAGUGACCAGAGAAAAUGGUAAUUUAAGAUGGAAUUAUCUAGAAGACUUAGCCUAUGUAGAUGACUAUUAUAUAUCAAUCUGUGCAUUUGUUUUGGUCCAUCUCCUCCCAGGUUGAUGGAUGCAGCAAACCACCAUGGCACGUGUAUACCUAUGUAAGAAAACUGCACGUUCUGCACAUGUAUCCCAGAACUUAAAGCAUAAUUAAAUGAAUAAUAAAACUUGCUAUGCUAUAACUUGACAAAGCAAAAGACUGGAAAAAAAAGGGUGGUUUUUCAAAUGGGAUAUUUUAGCCCUGAGAUAAAAAAGAAACAAGCCAGAAGUAUUAAUAAAAGGAACAACAGAAGCUGCUAUGAGUAAAAACAGAGCAUAGGAUUGAUCAUUACUUAAUUCAACAAGCAUAUGUUUUCCACUCACAUCACAGUUCAAAUGGAUUUUUGCCAACCAGUCUUUCACUUGGUGCCUUGGGAUCCUGGCUUCUCAAAAAAAAAAAAAAAAAAGAAGAGGAAGAAGAAGAAAAAGAACGAAAAAGAAUGGAUGCUUCAUGAUAAUUUCAUGUACUGCUGCAGCAUUAGCGCCUAAAUAAUGUCUGGCUCAGAGUAGAUACUCAACAAAUAUUUGUUGCAUGAAUGAAUGACAUAACUGCUUGCAACACAUCUUUGGGAGAGCACAAGCUGCAGCCCCUUAAGGUACUGGGCUGCCUAGAGAGGGCUAUUUGUUUUCUUAUGAUUCACUUUUGAGAGUUCUCUGUAUAAAUCUAAAUAUAAGUCUUUGUCAGGUAUUUGCUUUGCAAAUAUUUUCUGUGCCUUGUCUUUUUAUUAUUUCAUCAGCGUCCUGUAAAGGAGAUGAAUUUUUUUAUUUUGUCCAGUUUAUCAUUUGGUUCUUUUAUGGAUUGUGCUUUUGGUGUCAUAUCUAAGAAAUCUUUGCCUAACCCAAAGUCACAGAUUUUCUUCUAAAAGUUUUACAGUUUUAGGUUUUACAUUUAGGUCUGUGUUCUAUUUCAGAUUAAUUUCUGAUUACAGUGAGGUAGUGGUCAAGGUUCUUUUUUUGCAUUUGAAUACUCAAUUGUUCCAGCAUCAUUUAUUGGAAAGAUUAUUCUUCCAGCUCCAUUCAUGUCCCUGCAAAGGAAAUGUUCUCAUUCCUUGUUACAGCUGCAUAGUAUUCCAUGGUGCGCAUGUACUACAUUUUCUUCAUCAAAUCUGUCACUGAUGGGCAUUUGAGUUGAUUCUUUCUCCACAAACACAGCAAUAUUUGCAAUAGCACAUUACUGUAAACAAUGUAAAUAUUCAUCAAUAGGGGACCAGUUAAAUAAAUUCCAGUAUAUUUAUCCAGUAGAAAUCCACGGCACCAUUAAAAAGAAUGUAAUAGCUCUAUACAUACUUAUUUUGAGCAAUAUUUAUGCCCUGUUAAGUAGACGUAACAUUUUAAAUUGAAAUAAAAUUAAUUUUCAUAUAUUUUCCUGUUAACCACAUGUUCACAUCUUUUCAUCCGAUAAAUAUUCAUUGAGAUGUCCUUGUGUGCAGGCACUGUUCUAGGCACUGAGGAUACAGCAGUGAUAUCUAGUGGGAGAAAGCAGACAAUAAACAAAUAACUAGUGUGAUGGUUAAUUGUAUGUGUCAACUUGGCUGAGCUAAGUGAUGCUCAGAAAGCUGCUAAAACAUUAUUUCUGGAUGUGUCUGUGAGGGCGUUUCCAGAAGAAAUUGGCAUUUGAGUCAGUAGACUGAGUAAAGAAGAUCCAACCUGACCAAUGUGAGUGGCCAUCAUCUAAUCCAUUGAGGGCACAAAUGGAACAAAAACGUCAAAGAAGUGAUGGAGUCAUGCUAUGAUGCUCAGAGUGGUCUUGAGCUCCUGGCCUCAAGCAAUCCUCCCACCUCAGCCCCCUGAGUAGCUGGGAUUAUAGGUGAGAGGCACCAUGCCUGGAUUUGCUUUAUAAAUUUUGAUAUGUUACUUGGUGCAUAGAUAUUCAUUGCUGUUAGACCUUCAUUAUGUGUUGUACCCUGCCCUUCUUUGGUUCACUUUUCCUUGAAUUCAGUCUUGUCUGAUAUUAAUUUUCAGCUGUCUGCUUUCUUCUUAUUUCCAUUUUUCUAAUAUGCUUUUGCCUACUCAUUUGCUUUCAAUUUUUUCUGAGUCAUUUCAUUCUAGAUGAGUAUAUUACAGUCAGUACUUAAUUGGGUUUUUCUUUGUCACUGAAUAUGAGUGUCUCUUUUCCUGUGUAUUGAUAGGGUAGAUAUGUGUAGUAUGAGUGUUACAAUUUUUUAAAAAACUUUGAUUUCUCU